Molecule: long non-coding RNA, 1109 nt
Organism: Phyllostomus hastatus (greater spear-nosed bat)
Lineage: Eukaryota; Metazoa; Chordata; Mammalia; Chiroptera; Phyllostomidae
Exons: 3
Source: RefSeq, a predicted model, not a curated record
GGCUUGUGAUAAUGUUUGUCUAUAAAGGAGGAAUGGUCUUUCAUCUUCUUCAAGCAUUAAAACUCCCCUGGAGAGGGCAUUCAUGGCAGCCUCAUUUCCUAGGAGUUGCUGCCUUUUGUCAGAUAAAAGAAGCUCCCAGGAGUCUUUUCUCUGCAUUUGUUAAAUUUCAAAUGUCUCCAGCUUAAAGUAAUCUUUAUGCCAACUCCGGAAUUCGGAGGACGUCCUGACACCACAUUUCUAGUGCCCAACAGUGGCUACCGUAUUGGAUUGCGCAGGUGCAGAAUCACCAGAUCGCGGAGUCGCAGGGCUGCACAGCCCUGGAGGUCCCAGCAAGCACCCCUCUGCUGCCUCUCUGACCAGCGUUGGCCUGCACUCUGAGGGUCUCCCAAGCGCAGAGUGCCCAGCCUCCUUGAAGCAAGCUGUGAGGUGGAAGCUGUCAUCUUGAGCUGAAAUCGCCCUCCUGGCUGUGCAUCUCAGUAUCUUUUCCAAUCCGCUGGGGCAGGGCGGGGGCAGGCAGGAACUGUGUUUCAUUUCACCCAGAGGGUCAGUGUCCUGCAGCACGCGGGGGGAGGGGCUGCUCACGCACUACAAAGUCCUGCUUGCUCUGCAAGGCGGUGUCUUCUCCGAGGCCUUGGGAGGAAGAGCCAGCGUUUUGGGGACAACCUUUGCGAACACUCACCACCCCUCCAGAGCAGAAAGCCUGGUCCGACUUCCAGCCCACCUCCGCCACCGGCCUGGGCUCUGGGGAUCUCUCCUCCCCCAGUUGGGAGAGGCCUUUCCUGUGUGGCGGUGGCACAGCUCCCACUCUCGAUCGAACCGGUUCCAACCAAGUCCCAGGGGCGUCUGGAGAAAUCUUGGAGACCUUCCUGUCCAAGCCACCUGGGGAGGGUGGUGCCUGGCCAGCCUCUGCUCCUUGGCCAUAACAUCAGUGACCUGCGCUUGCACCUUGAGAAUAAAGGACAGCAGUCAUCCCUGAUCUGAAGGGGAUACAUUCCAAUGGAUGCCUGAAACCAAAUCCUAAGCCUGGGAGGCAGUAUGACCCACAAAAAGAGCAAGGGCUUGGAGACGGCACAGCUUCCCCACUUAAAAGCUGUGUGACCUUCAGAAAG